This 468-nucleotide ribosomal RNA is filed under the name uncultured bacterium. Its description in RNAcentral is "partial 16S ribosomal RNA". It matches the Rfam family "Bacterial small subunit ribosomal RNA", at positions 28 to 507 of the family's 1533-position model. The record is from RNAcentral.
GACGAACGCUGGCAGCGUGCUUAACACAUGCAAGUCGAACGGAAAGGCCCUGCUUUUGUGGGGUGCUCGAGUGGCGAACGGGUGAGUAACACGUGAGUAACCUGCCCUUGACUUUGGGAUAACUUCAGGAAACUGGGGCUGAUACCGGAUAGGAGCUCCUGCUGCAUGGUGGGGGUUGGAAAGUUUCGGCGGUUGGGGAUGGACUCGCGGCUUAUCAGCUUGUUGGUGGGGUAGUGGCUUACCAAGGCUUUGACGGGUAGCCGGCCUGAGAGGGUGACCGGCCACAUUGGGACUGAGAUACGGCCCAGACUCCUACGGGAGGCAGCAGUGGGGAAUAUUGCACAAUGGGCGGAAGCCUGAUGCAGCAACGCCGCGUGCGGGAUGACGGCCUUCGGGUUGUAAACCGCUUUCGCCUGUGACGAAGCGUGAGUGACGGUAAUGGGUAAAGAAGCACCGGCUAACUACGUG